GCCUUCUUUACGAGAGCCAUGAAUUGCAAAAUGCUCAACAUUUUCGGGAGGAGUACCUGCUGCUGGAAAUCACCCGCCAGAGCCCAUUGGUCAAAACAUCAAACUGGGAAAGGACUAUCGUUUGCAGCCAGCCAAUGUUCUCCGGCCCACCUUACGUACUUCGCCGUACUCGGAAACUCCAUUCAUCAAGUGCCGGUUCUCAAACGAAUGUUAGCUCCACUUCAUCGUUGCCA
This is a long non-coding RNA of Uranotaenia lowii, 233 nucleotides long. RefSeq lists it as uncharacterized. NCBI's taxonomy places the organism in Eukaryota, Metazoa, Arthropoda, Insecta, Diptera, Culicidae. The record is from RefSeq and is a predicted model, not a curated record. The transcript is spliced from 3 exons.